CAGCCGCCGCGGUAAUACCGGCGGCCCGAGUGGCGGUCACUAUUAUUUGGCUUUAAGCGUCCGUAGCCGGGUUGGGAAGUCCUCCGGGAAAUCUGGCCGCUUAACGGUCAGAAUGCCGGAGGAUACUCCCAGCCUAGGGAGCGGGAGAGGCCGAGGGGAUUCCCGGAGUAGGGGGGAAAUCCUAUAAUCCCGGGAGGACCACCUGUGGCGAAGGCGCUCGGCUGGAACGCGUCCGACGGUGAGGGACGAAGGCCAGGGGAGCAAACCGGAUUAGAUACCCGGGUAGUCCUGGCUGUAAACGAUGCGGACUUUGUGUCGGACAAGCUAUGAGCUUGUCCGGUGCCGGAGGGAAACCGUUAAGUCCGCCGCCUGGGGAGUACGGCCGCAAGGCUGAAACUUAAAGGAAUUGGCGGG
Molecule: ribosomal RNA, 414 nt
Filed under: uncultured microorganism
Description: bacterial SSU rRNA
Rfam family: Archaeal small subunit ribosomal RNA
Source: RNAcentral